GUGCGUGUGUGUGUGUGUGUGUGUGUGUGUGUGCGCCCACGGCAGGCUGUUUGCUGGGGCACACUCUCCCCC
Molecule: microRNA precursor, 72 nt
Filed under: Tursiops truncatus (common bottlenose dolphin)
Lineage: Eukaryota; Metazoa; Chordata; Mammalia; Artiodactyla; Delphinidae
Description: miRNA (ENSTTRG00000023708.1)
Source: RNAcentral